This is a long non-coding RNA of Electrophorus electricus (electric eel), 226 nucleotides long. RefSeq lists it as uncharacterized. Lineage: Eukaryota; Metazoa; Chordata; Actinopteri; Gymnotiformes; Gymnotidae. The record is from RefSeq and is a predicted model, not a curated record.
CACCACACAGUUAGCAUGUGACCACAAUGUGGUGAUUCAGUUCAAUGGACUCAAAGAGCAGAGGCAAUGAAAAAUGAAAGCUGGCCAUUGUUAAAGAUUUGAUAGUUGAACAUGACUUGGAAGAUGGCUGGUGUACACCCAGUCUUUGUACUAGUCGAGCGAUUCAAAAAGUGAUUCCAUUUAAAGCCUUGGUGUGACUGGUUCUGCAUGGAAAUGGUUUCAGUCC